RNAcentral lists this long non-coding RNA (3659 nucleotides) under Homo sapiens (human). RNAcentral's name for it is "HSALNT0147898". The record is from RNAcentral. Lineage: Eukaryota; Metazoa; Chordata; Mammalia; Primates; Hominidae.
UUGAGAAAAUGAAUUUCCAGCAGUUAAAUACAGCGUGAUGCAGCCAAUCAACCUAUAACAGCCCAAACCCGGAUGAAGGAAAACAUUACAUGGCAAGUGGCACCACAACUGAUGAAUAAAGAUGACAAAUAAAAAGGCUAAUGAGAAUUGAAUAGUGCAUAUCCUGAAACCUCUAAAACCACAUUCAUUAUGCUAAGAAAUUAACUAAAUGCAUUUUUUAUUUUGUAAUAGAAACUUCCACUUGGCUAAUUGAAGCUUCCACUGCAUCUCCCACAGAGCCCAAGAAGUAUCAGUAUGUGACUACUGAAUGAUGGACAAUGAAAUAUAUUAAUACCAUAAAAAAGAAAAAAGGGCAAUUAGGUAUCUGUUGAAGAUUCUGAAAUUUAAGUAGGAAUAUAGGCCAAAGGAAACAGUUAUGUAAUACCAGAGUUUUCAGACAUAUUUACUAUAGAAUACUUGGUAAAGUGUUAUAAAGGAGAGGAGUGAAAGUAGAAAAAGAAAAAAAUAGUUUUAAAAUCUUUAUACUCAAAUAAAAUAAACAUAUAUGGAAUAAACUUGAAAUUAUUAAUAAAAACUCUUUAUAAAUAGCAUUUUAUAAUUCAUUUAUGUGUCCCAACAAGUGUUACUCAUUACUACAAUCUUGCACUCAUCUGCUAUUCCUUGAUGCUAACCUCUUUCUACACUGAAAGAAAUAGAGUUCCAAGAGUUGUCUGCAUCUUGGAACAGUGAAAAUAAAGAUAGAACAAGAGAACUGAGUCAUUGCUAGACAGUAAGAAUACUUUCAGGGAUGCAAAGCAGGCAAUUUAAAAGAGCUUCUCUGAACAAGGUGUGAUCAUCUAAGAAUUAAAUGUGAAAACAAUAAUUAUUUGAAAACCCAAGAAUCUAUAAUGAUAUUCAAAAAUGUGUUAAAGAAUGGUCAUAUACAAAUGAAUUUCAGGUAUUUAUAAAAAUUGUUGAAUAUGGACAUGCCCAGCUAUAUGCUUAACUCAUUUUAAUCAACAUUUAAGUCUCAUUAUACUUAUUUGACAGUAAAGUUAUUACUUCUAUGUCUAGUUGGGUUAAUAAAAAUCUAAACAGGUGAAAUCAAACAACAAAAAUAUUAGGGAAAGUGCAGAGAUUUAUAUUGAAUGUUUUAAACCCAUGGAAAUACAUUUCAACUAUUGGUUCCACAUUGGAAAAAUGGCAUCUUUAAGGUCCAAAGUUUUACUUGAUUAAAUUCUUAUGCUAUUGUUAUUUUACCUGUAUAAUUUAUAAACUAACUGGGCAAAUAUUGGUUUGAGUAAAUGGAUUUUAUUCAACAUUCUCUUACUCUCCAAACGCAUCCAAUCUUUGUUUCUAUCUCAUUUUCACACACACACACACAUACACACUAGAAAUGAUAAGGGCAAAACAUAUUGUAUGUUCAAUGAUUGUGGGAUUACUCAAGUUAAAAGGAAAGGCAUCACUGGAAAGUUCCUUUCAGUAAGUAAUGGUCAAUAAAGUCAAGUCUGGGUGGAGUCUUCUGGAAGCUUCACUCAGAUCCAAGAGAUAGAAUCUUGGGCCAUUAACUCUGUUACAGAAUCAAAGUUGCCAUAGCAGGUAUGAGAUGGUCAUUAGGUUUCACUCCCUUAAAAUAAUGCAUUUGUACCUUUGAUGCGGUUUUAACUCAUACAUGUAACAAGCAGGUCAUUAGUAAGCAGGUCAUUAUUCCUGAAGUCACUACAGAUAGAAGUCUAUAGACUUCUAUAGAAUUCACCAAGGUAAAGAGGCCAUUCUGAAAAAAAAAUAAAGGAUUAAAUCAUACAUGUAGUGCAUGGUUAACUGUAAGCACACACAUGAUAUUACUAAAAGUCAAUUUAUCAUUGUAAUUCUUUAACGUGUUAUGUCCCAGAGGAUGUGUGCCAGGAGAACCAGGCGAAGUAUCUUCAGAAUACGUUUUAAAUAUUCUAGAGAUGCUUUGCUGACCUAUUUAAAACUCUUAAGUGCUUUGUUGUGACAAAGUUAAUAGCUGAAUCCAUUUCACACGUAUAUUUUAGAACAGACUAACUGAUGGUCUGACUACUGUCUGUUAAUAUUGCUGCCUGCUUACAAACAGCUUCUGGGGAAUCCUAAGAAUCUUAAAAAUAGAAAAUGGCAUAUUUCUAUAGAAACUACAAAAUGAUAUUGCCAGAGUUUUGACUUUUGUCCACAGGUAGAAAAAUAUAUACAUUGUUGACAUGACAUAGCAAAUAAACACUUCACAGAUGACUGAGUGGUUCCAUGCUAACUGCUAGGUUAUCACAAAACACAAUUACUCAUCUACUACUGUAUUAGGGUUCUCUAAAGGGACAGAACUAACAGGAUAGAUGUAUAUACAUAAAGGGGAGUUUAUUAAGGAGUAUUGACUCACAUGAUCACAAAGUGAGAUCCCAGAAUAGGCCAUUUGCAAGCUGAGGAGCAAGGAAGCCAGUCUGAGUCCCAAAACUUGAAAAGUAGGGAAGCCGAUAGUGCAGCCUGCAGUCUAUGGUCGAAGGUCCAAGAGUCCCAAAGCUGAAAACUUGGAGUCUGAUGUUCAAGGGCGGAAGCAUCCAGCACAGGAGGAAGAUGUAGGCCCGGAGACUAAGCCAGAGUAGUCUUUUCACGUUCUUCUGCCUGCUUUUAGUCUGGCUGCACUGGCAGCUGAUUUAGAUUGUGCCCAAACAGAUUAAGGCUGGGUCUGCCUUUCCCAGUUCACUGACUCAGCUGUUAAGCUCCUUUGGCAACAACCUCAAAGACACAGCCAGGAACAAUAAUUUGCAUCCUUCAAUCUAACUGAGUUGACACUCAAUAUGAACCAUCACAAUGACCAAAUGUCAAUGUGCUAUUAAAAGUAUAUUUUCUCUUAGGUAGGUAACAUGUCGGAGAUACUGUUCUAGCCACAGUUUCAAGGGCCAUGUUUAUAUUCUGAGAACAGGGAGAGAGACAGAGAGAGAUAAUGCGUUUUAGAAGAAAGUUGGGAUUUCGUAAAAGAUAAAGACACUAGAAAUCAAUUACUUCUUUCUCUUAUUUGCAAAAACAAAAUUUAGGUGAAUAUCAGAAUAUUAGACUUAACUGGGUAUCAAAAACACACCAUGUUAUCUCUAUAUCAUAGUGUAUGGUUAAAAAAUUUUCAAUGAAAGUUUUAUCAAAAUAAUUUUUGAUGGUCAAAACAGUUAUUUAUGUAUAAAUACAUAGUUUUAUUUUUUCCUUAAUGCAAUUUUUGUUUAUAAAAAGUACAACAUUCAUCAGUAGACAACUUGCUGAGACAAGAAGUCUUUUCCUGAUGGAAGGUCUUUUCUCAAUCGAAGGGUUCGUGGUCCCACGGGCUUCAAGAAAUGAAGCCGUGGACCACAGUGGCGAGUGUUACAGCUCGAUUAGAGAAACGUGCGGACCCAAAGAGCGUGGGGCGGCAUAAUUAAAGCAAAAGUGAAAGCGAAAGUAAAGCUUCCGGGCGGUGGAAGGGGACCCGGAAGGGUUGCCAUUUUUGGCUUGGGUAUCUUAUGCUUAUAUCUCCUUAUGACCCCUCCCCUUUUCCUUUUUCUGUCCUAUAGAAUUAGCUUAUUUUCUAUCUGCUUGUGGGUUGGCGGGCCUGUUUGGUUAAAAACAUCAGGCUGCAGCUAGAGCUUAAACUUCCUAUAUGAUUGGUUGAAGUGUCCAUCCCUUGGCUUGCAGCUGUGACUCAU